RNAcentral lists this ribosomal RNA (716 nucleotides) under uncultured beta proteobacterium. RNAcentral's name for it is "bacterial SSU rRNA". It matches the Rfam family "Bacterial small subunit ribosomal RNA", at positions 59 to 759 of the family's 1533-position model. The record is from RNAcentral. Lineage: Bacteria; Pseudomonadati; Pseudomonadota; Betaproteobacteria.
AAGUCGAACGGUAACGUGGGGAGGAGCUUGCUCCACCCUGACGACGAGUGGCGAACGGGUGAGUAAUACAUCGGAACGUGUCCGCUCGUGGGGGACAACCAGCCGAAAGGUUGGCUAAUACCGCAUGAGUUCUACGGAAGAAAGAGGGGGACCCGCAAGGGCCUCUCGCGAGCGGAGCGGCCGAUGACUGAUUAGCCAGUUGGUGAGGUAACGGCUCACCAAAGCAACGAUCAGUAGCUGGUCUGAGAGGACGACCAGCCACACUGGGACUGAGACACGGCCCAGACUCCUACGGGAGGCAGCAGUGGGGAAUUUUGGACAAUGGGCGCAAGCCUGAUCCAGCUAUUCCGCGUGUGGGAUGAAGGCCCUCGGGUUGUAAACCACUUUUGUAGAGAACGAAAAGACAUCUUCGAAUAAAGGAUGUUGCUGACGGUACUCUAAGAAUAAGCACCGGCUAACUACGUGCCAGCAGCCGCGGUAAUACGUAGGGUGCGAGCGUUAAUCGGAAUUACUGGGCGUAAAGGGUGCGCAGGCGGUUGAGUAAGACAGGUGUGAAUCCCCGAGCUUAACUCGGGAAUGGCAUAUGUGACUGCUCGACUAGAGUGUGUCAGAGGGAGGUGGAAUUCCACGUGUAGCAGUGAAAUGCGUAGAUAUGUGGAAGAACACCGAUGGCGAAGGCAGCCUCCUGGGACAUAACUGACGCUCAGGCACGAAAG